Molecule: ribosomal RNA, 698 nt
Filed under: uncultured bacterium
Lineage: Bacteria
Description: bacterial SSU rRNA
Rfam family: Bacterial small subunit ribosomal RNA
Source: RNAcentral
UCUGCCUAGUAGUGGGGGAUAACUUGCCGAAAGGUAAGCUAAUACCGCAUACGUCCUACGGGAGAAAGCAGGGGACCUUCGGGCCUUGCGCUAUUAGAUGAGCCUAGGUCGGAUUAGUUAGUUGGUGAGGUAAUGGCUCACCAAGACAGCGAUCCGUAACUGGUCUGAGAGGAUGAUCAGUCACACUGGAACUGAGACACGGUCCAGACUCCUACGGGAGGCAGCAGUGGGGAAUAUUGGACAAUGGGGGGAACCCUGAUCCAGCCAUGCCGCGUGUGUGAAGAAGGUCUUAGGAUUGUAAAGCACUUUAAGUUGGGAGGAAGGGCAGUUAACUAAUAUUUGACUGUUUUGACGUUACCGACAGAAUAAGCACCGGCUAACUUCGUGCCAGCAGCUGCGGUAAUACGAAGGGUGCAAGCGUUAAUCGGAAUUACUGGGCGUAAAGCGCGCGUAGGUGGUUCGUUAAGUUAGGAGUGAAAGCCCCGGGCUCAACCUGGGAAUUGCUUCUAAAACUGGCGGGCUAGAGUAUGGUAGAGGGUGGUGGAAUUUCCUGUGUAGCGGUGAAGUGCGUAGAUAUAGGAAGGAACAUCAGUGGCGAAGGCGACCACCUGGACUGAUACUGACACUGAGGUGCGAAAGCGUGGGGAGCAAACAGGAUUAAAUACCCUGGUAGUCCACGCCGUAAACGAUGUCAACUA